Cyprinus carpio (common carp) is the source of this 367-nucleotide long non-coding RNA. The record is from Ensembl. Lineage: Eukaryota; Metazoa; Chordata; Actinopteri; Cypriniformes; Cyprinidae.
UGUAACACCCGCGAAGAAUGCACGGAAGGAAAUAAUUUGGUUUCACAGCUACUUCUAUGUAUGUGUGGGGCCGGAUCAGAAGACUACGUUCGCUCAGGAGUCAGGAUUGCAGCAGGAGAAAGAACACAACAACAACUUCUGGAAAAGAAAACUCAACAGAAAGUAAACAACAAAAAUGCACAGUGUGAUGAACAACUUCCAGAUUCUAUGAAAUGGGAUGGCUCGCCAGUUUCUGCAACCGUGUGUCUCUCUCUCUCUCGAUGGACAGCAGAAACAAUUCUCCCAAACGUCAACAAAACUCCAGAUCCAGAAUCAGCAUUGCUCUCAGGAACAUCAAUAAACAAAGAAGAGAGAGAGAAAAGAAAAG